GUUUCUUUAAGGAGGGAACCUGAGUUUUGAAGUGAUUCUUUUUGGUGUGUUUUGGGGUUUUGUCUCUCCUUCCUUUUAGCUUUUUUUCAGUUUGGUAUGAGUAAAGCUGAAUUCUUUUUGAAAAUAGGAGAAUAGAUUGAGUUAACUAGUUGACUAGCUUGGAGCAACGGUAAAGUUGUAUCAGUGUGACCUAUAAGUGUUUGAGUGGUGGAAUAACGAGUGAUGAUUGUAGCAGGGUAGACUGUCUACAUCACACCUCUUAGGAUGCUUUGUGCACUUGGCUUCUAUUUUUUUUAGGAGGUUAUUCUUUUGAUUCUUUAGCAUAAUUUCGGUAUAUUUCCUGAUUUUGACUGUUUCUG
Molecule: unclassified non-coding RNA, 359 nt
Filed under: Hevea brasiliensis (rubber tree)
Lineage: Eukaryota; Viridiplantae; Streptophyta; Magnoliopsida; Malpighiales; Euphorbiaceae
Source: RNAcentral